UGCAUAGCAGAUAUAUGAUUUUAACUCACAGCUUUGACGACCUCCUAGCUCUGCUCCGAUGCUUCGGAUGGAGCGAGCCGAACAGACAGAUUAUCUAAUCAUGGAAAGAAUUUAUCAAUAACGCUGAAACAAUUGACAAUUAACCCUAGGUCUAGAUUUCUAGGAUUGACUGUCUAAGAAUCUCGACUCGGGUAAAUUCUACCGAAAAUUUGGCAAAACCUCUCCUACAACACGGACAUUUACCCCCUGUAAAAUAGGUCCAGGACUUGCCAAAAAAACACUUUAAAUAUUCAAUAAUUUAAUACAACGGGUGUCGAGUCCCUAAGACUUCACUAUUUUUCCCGACUCCGCCACACAUCCCAAAACAUGGCCUAAGGCAGGCAGUCCAACAAAUAAUUAUUUUGACUCAUAAUAUUUUCUAAUACUCAAUACAAUUCAAUAAACAUAUAACUUUACCAAAGAAUUCUAAAAUCAACGAGUUAAAAAAAAUUAUCGAGACGCUUGAUAGCUCGGUUGACUCGCCUCUAGCCGACGGAGUCCGAUUGAUGAUCUGAACACACCAACGGACUCGAAACGACGCGCUGAUGACGAUCCCUGCUUCCGAUCUUCCGAUCCUACCCUUGAUCAUCCGAAGAAAUUUACGGACGAUCUCGACCGUCGAUUUACAAACGGAGUUCGAUUGCUACGAAACUACUGCCGUUGGAAAGCUUGUGACGAGGAGAGUCCGAAUGCGUGUUCAGAUCGUCCGAAGCUCAACGGCACUAGCCAGAAAAACUCCAAAAACCGAACUGUCCUUACAAGCUCUUCUUGCUGGAUCUCCUUCCUCAACAACCUUCACAUUUGAUGUUAUCCUCGAAGAAACCCACCGGCCGCUGGCCAUUUGAAACUAGAACCACUAAAAUGGUUGCCGGAGUUACUACCAUGCUUGCUAACUCGGCUGCUUCGACAACCAGCUGCAACGACGCUGAUGACAGCUUCAAGCGGAUAGAACGAAGAUAGCGCUGCACUGGCGACGCUAGAGCACUCCUCGCCGAAGCUCGACGCAGCGCAGCGACGCUGGAGCGCUCCUUGCCGAAGCUCGACGGCCUCCGCACGCC
Molecule: long non-coding RNA, 1097 nt
Filed under: Ricinus communis (castor bean)
Lineage: Eukaryota; Viridiplantae; Streptophyta; Magnoliopsida; Malpighiales; Euphorbiaceae
Description: long non-coding RNA (RCOM_LNC002619)
Source: RNAcentral